This 657-nucleotide ribosomal RNA is filed under the name Cynodon affinis. RNAcentral describes it as "eukaryotic LSU rRNA". The stretch from base 243 to 398 matches the Rfam family "5.8S ribosomal RNA". Lineage: Eukaryota; Viridiplantae; Streptophyta; Magnoliopsida; Poales; Poaceae. The record is from RNAcentral. RNAcentral also lists the same sequence under 1 other name.
ACCUGCGGAAGGAUCAUUGUCGUGACCCUGACCAAAACAAACCGUGAACCUGUCACCUAUGCUGCCGGUUGAUGGGCUUGCACCUAUCUCUCGGUCUAGGCCACCGACCUUCUUCAGAAGGGCGGGGUGCCAAAAGAACCCACGGCGCCGUAUGGCGUCAAGGAGAACUAAUGUUGCCUUGCUUGGGGCCUCGGCCGGCUUGCCGGAUGCACCCCUUGCAGCGAUGCUAUGGAAAAUCACAUGACUCUCGGCAACGGAUAUCUCGGCUCUUGCAUCGAUGAAGAACGUAGCAAAAUGCGAUACCUGGUGUGAAUUGCAGAAUCCCGUGAACCAUCGAGUUUUUGAACGCAAGUUGCGCCCGAGGCCUUGUGGCCGAGGGCACGUCUGCCUGGGCGUCACGCCAAAAGACACUCCACCGCAAUCCCGGUCUGGACGUGGUGUUUGGCCCCUCAUUCCAUAGUGUAUGGUGGGCCAAAGAGGCGGCUGCCGGCGGUGCCGGUCACAGCAGAUGGUGGAUGGCACAAGUUAUUCUCGGUGUUGUGAUCCUGACGUCAUGUUAUGCCCCUUUUGGACCCAUGGUUUGGAGCGUACGUAGCUCGGACCGCGACCCCAGGUCAGUCGGGACUACCCGCUGAAUUUAAGCAUAUCAAUAAGCGG